UGGCGGACGGGUGACGUAACGCGGUACGGAAACUGCCGUAUACUGGGGGAUAACACUUAGAAAUAGGUGCUAAUACCGCAUAAGCGCACAGCUUCGCAUGAAGCGGUGUGAAAAACUCUGGUGGUAUACGAUGGUUCCGCGUCUGAUUAGCUAGUUGGUGGGGUAAUGGCCUACCAAGGCAACGAUCAGUAGCCGGCCUGAGAGGGUGAACGGCCACAUUGGGACUGAGACACGGCCCAAACUCCUACGGAAGGCAGCAG
RNAcentral lists this ribosomal RNA (260 nucleotides) under uncultured bacterium. RNAcentral's name for it is "partial 16S ribosomal RNA". It matches the Rfam family "Bacterial small subunit ribosomal RNA", at positions 96 to 354 of the family's 1533-position model. The record is from RNAcentral.